CAGAGCAGGAGGAGGAAAAGGAAGAGGAGCCCUGGGAUCCCCGCCAUGCUGAGCACCACUCUGUAGGAACAAAGAUAAGCAGGUCUUUGUAUCUAUGUUCCUGGCUCCACUGAAUGCCUUGAAUUUGGCCCUAUGCUAAUGCUCGCUCAACAAAGAUUUAUUGAGUGGAUUUACUGAAUGAGUACUUGUAUUCAUCGAAGAGUGAGUGAGUGAUUCGUGUAGCUACAAAAACCACAUUUCUGGAACGAUGCAUGCUGAGUGCUAAUGACAGAGAUGUAUGUGGAUGAUGGGGCGGCUCUGGGGAAAGGGCAUGGAAUCCAGGUGUGGGGAGGAUCAAGAACAGGGGAGCCAUUCCAGGGAAGGUGAUGCUUGAGGUGGGUGGUGAAGAUGAGGAGAAGUUAGAUAAUCUAAGACAGGGUGAAGGGGACACUUCGAGAGAGGGGACGGUAGUACGCAAAGACACGGAGACGUGCAACCGUGCAAGUCAUUUCAGAAACUGUACUUAGCUCAGCAAAGGUGGGAGAGGUGGGGGGCAAGAACCAUAUUAUGUAAGACUGUGUAUACUAACUGAAGAAGUUUAGAUUUUCUCCUGAAAUGUAUGUUCAAAGAGCUGGAUCAAUCAUCCCACCAGAAAAACAACAAUGAAAAAUGAGAUUGGGAAGUACUCCCAUAAACAUUCAAGGACCAGCUGGCUCUGAUUGGCUGUGAAUCUUCUGUUCAGGAAAAGCUGAUGUAGCAGGGUCACAAAAGCCCAGGGCAAGCACUCUGCUGUACACAAACAGGAUCUGCACCAUCAUUUACUGUUUGGGAGCUACAUGCACAGAAUUCAGGAGGCCAGAGGUGGAGGGGAAGAGGAAAAUUUAUUUUGCUAAUCUCUUGCCUAUCUGGGAGACAAGAUUUCCCUCCUCAGUUCUCCAAGGAAACAAAGGCCUCCA
Molecule: long non-coding RNA, 935 nt
Organism: Lutra lutra (Eurasian river otter)
Lineage: Eukaryota; Metazoa; Chordata; Mammalia; Carnivora; Mustelidae
Exons: 3
Source: RefSeq, a predicted model, not a curated record